This is a long non-coding RNA of Octopus bimaculoides (California two-spot octopus), 1315 nucleotides long. Lineage: Eukaryota; Metazoa; Mollusca; Cephalopoda; Octopoda; Octopodidae. The record is from RefSeq and is a predicted model, not a curated record.
AAAAGCUGCAAAAGAAUAGCAAAUAAACUGUUCAAUUUUCUGGUAUAGAAAUCAAUUCAAAGAACAAGUCGAAAUUUUACACCAUUCGAAGAUAUUUGUACCACCAUAAGCACGAAAAUACAUCCUUAUCUGAAAUAUUACGUGAUACAGCAUAACACCCAACUAACCAAAAUGGAAUAAUGGACUCUUCUGUCCUGAACGAGUGUUGAGGGUUCUGCAAAUCCUUCCUAAACAACCUUCACAGAUGAUUUGUUUAACCUGAUCAAAUGCUUGCGCUGCACAUCAGCUCGUUCCCUCGUUCGAAACGACAAUGCAGGUGCACAAUGUGCCACACGUCAGGUGUCAAAGGGAUCGCGGAGUAACGUGAAAACCGAAGUGGUUUCACCGAGAACACAACGCAGCAUUAAAAACACGAUCCGGGCCUCAAAAACAGGAUGUUGCAAGCAUGAACGCAACAUCCAAACUGCUAGGCCAGAAGUCGAAUAAAUAUGUGCGAAAAUAAAAUUUAUUAAAAUAUCUAAAACGGAUGUCACCAAUAUUUUCAAGAUAUUUUCGAAAAAAACAAAUUUCGAAACUUCUUAAUGACUCAAUUACCGUCCUAAAUCUACGCUGCUUUUCCUUAACACACACGGUAUGUAGAGCUAUGAAUCCGAUAUGAGUGAAAAAGAAAACAACAACAACAUGCAAGUACCGUUAACAGCUUUAUUCUGAAACACCUUUUCACGAACCAGCGAGGGAGUUGUUUAAGCUGCUAGAAGUAGAAGCCAAAGCUCUUCCAUUUCACUCCCUGCAAUCAUUGAAAAGAAAGAGUUUAUUGGAUAGUGUAACUGUGAAUAGAGAAAAGAAAAAGACGAGUUAGUCACAGCGGAAAGCCUACCAACAAUAUAAAAAGAAACCCGGACUCUGUCAGUUAUGAUGACGAGUGUUCCAGUUGAUCCGACCAACGUAGCAGACCCGCGUAUCCUUCACGUAGUUCUUAAGGAGACACAGAAUAUGACAAGGCCGGUCCUUUGAAUUACAGGUACAUCACAUAUUUGUGAGUUUGAGUUGACUGGAGCAACGUGAAAGGAAAUGUCACAACGCGCGGCCAGGAAUCGAACUUACAAACUUUCGAUUGUGAACCGAAUACUUUUACCACUAAGCCACACGCCUUCACAGGAUUACACAUACACACCCACACGACAUACACAGACGCACGCGCGCGUGUGUGUGUCGUUAUCGUGAAGACAAGAGGGAAAAAGGACUUAUGGGCCGGAUUUUUCUGUUCGUAUCUGAAAUAACUAUUCUAAUAAACGAAUUGUCAGUGUUGCAAUUA